AAGAAAUUAGUUUAGAAAAAACAUUAACUUGUCAAGAUAAAAACGUAUAUAAUUAAAAUAUAUUUCUUA
This 69-nucleotide transfer RNA is filed under the name Drabescus ineffectus. RNAcentral describes it as "tRNA-Asp". Lineage: Eukaryota; Metazoa; Arthropoda; Insecta; Hemiptera; Cicadellidae. The record is from RNAcentral.